RNAcentral lists this ribosomal RNA (253 nucleotides) under uncultured bacterium. RNAcentral describes it as "partial 16S ribosomal RNA". It matches the Rfam family "Bacterial small subunit ribosomal RNA", at positions 524 to 776 of the family's 1533-position model. The record is from RNAcentral.
UACGAAGGGGGCUAGCGUUGCUCGGAAUUACUGGGCGUAAAGGGCGCGUAGGCGGAUAUCUAAGUUGGGGGUGAAAUCCCGGGGCUCAACCUCGGAAUUGCCUUCAAAACUGGGUAUCUUGAGUUCGGGAGAGGUGAGUGGAACUCCGAGUGUAGCGGUGAAAUGCGUAGAUAUCGUAAGGAAGACCAGUGGCGAAGGCGGGUCUCUGGACAGUUCCUGACGCUGAGGCACGAAGGUCAGGGGAGCAAACGGG